RNAcentral lists this ribosomal RNA (520 nucleotides) under uncultured Glomus. RNAcentral describes it as "SSU rRNA". It matches the Rfam family "Eukaryotic small subunit ribosomal RNA", at positions 569 to 1091 of the family's 1831-position model. Lineage: Eukaryota; Fungi; Glomeromycota; Glomeromycetes; Glomerales; Glomeraceae. The record is from RNAcentral.
AGCAGCCGCGGUAAUUCCAGCUCCAAUAGCGUAUAUUAAAGUUGUUGCAGUUAAAAAGCUCGUAGUUGAAUUUCGGAAUCAAUAUGUUGGUCGUGCCUCGGUACGUACUAGCUUAUUGGUUUCUUCCUUCUGAUGAACCAUGAUGUCAUUUAUUUGGUGUUAUGAGGAAUCAGGACUGUUACUUUGAAAAAAAUUAGAGUGUUUAAAGCAGGCUCACGCUUGAAUACAUUAGCAUGGAAUAAUGAAAUAGGACGUUUGAUUCUAUUUUGUUGGUUUCUAGGAUCGACGUAAUGAUUAAUAGGGAUAGUUGGGGGCAUUAGUAUUCAAUUGUCAGAGGUGAAAAUUCUUGGAUUUAUUGAAGACUAACUACUGCGAAAGCAUUUGCCAAGGAUGUUUUCAUUAAUCAAGAACGAAAAGUUAGGGGAUCGAAGACGAUCAGAUACCGUCGUAGUCUUAACCAUAAAACUAUGCCGACGUAGGAGUACGAUGAUAGUUUUAAAUUUUUAAUGUACUCUAGUUC